UACACUCCUGCGGGAGGCAGCAGUGAGGAAUAUUGGACAAUGGGUGGAAGCCUGAUCCAGCCAUCCCGCGUGCAGGAAGACGGCCCUAUGGGUUGUAAACUGCUUUUAUCUGGGGAUAAACCUACUUACGUGUAAGUAGCUGAAGGUACCAGAAGAAUAAGCACCGGCUAACUCCGUGCCAGCAGCCGCGGUAAUACGGAGGGUGCAAGCGUUAUCCGGAUUUAUUGGGUUUAAAGGGUCCGUAGGCGGACUGAUAAGUCAGUGGUGAAAUCCGACAGCUUAACUGUCGAACUGCCAUUGAUACUGUUAGUCUUGAGUAAGGUUGAAGUGGCUGGAAUAAGUAGUGUAGCGGUGAAAUGCAUAGAUAUUACUUAGAACACCAAUUGCGAAGGCAGGUCACUAAGUCUUAACUGACGCUGAUGGACGAAAGCGUGGGGAGCGAACAGGAUUAGAAACCCUGGUAGUCCCA
Molecule: ribosomal RNA, 469 nt
Filed under: uncultured organism
Description: partial 16S ribosomal RNA
Rfam family: Bacterial small subunit ribosomal RNA
Source: RNAcentral